UUGCACCAGAUACGAACCUGACAGUCCCCGCCUCAUCGCAGCUGUGGGAUCUCUGUGGCUGCCUGGUUUGAAACGGUGCAAGAGCAACAUCAGCCCUGAGAUUUAAGCUUUUCAGUGGGAAGCGACACUGUUGAGUUAUGGCUCAGAGGCACAGAG
This is a non-coding RNA of Myripristis murdjan (pinecone soldierfish), 156 nucleotides long. Ensembl annotates it as small Cajal body-specific RNA 1. Lineage: Eukaryota; Metazoa; Chordata; Actinopteri; Holocentriformes; Holocentridae. The record is from Ensembl.